Molecule: ribosomal RNA, 315 nt
Filed under: Clostridia bacterium
Lineage: Bacteria; Bacillati; Bacillota; Clostridia
Description: partial 23S ribosomal RNA
Rfam family: Bacterial large subunit ribosomal RNA
Source: RNAcentral
GGGUUCAGAACGUCGUGAGACAGUUCGGUCCCUAUCCGCUGUGGGCGUUGGAGAUCUGAGUGGAGCUGUUCCUAGUACGAGAGGACCGGGAUGGACGUACCUCUGGUGCACCAGUUGUUCUGCCAAGGGCAUAGCUGGGUAGCCACGUAUGGACGGGAUAAGCGCUGAAAGCAUCUAAGUGCGAAGCCCCCCACAAGACAGGAUCUCCUCCAGUAAUGGUAAGACCCGUGGAAGACUACCACGUUGAUAGGUCGGAGGUGUAAGUGCAGUAAUGUAUUAAGCUGACCGAUACUAAUAGGUCGAAAGCUUGACCAG